UCCAGACUCCUACGGGAGGCAGCAGUGGGGGAUAUUGCACAAUGGGGGGAACCCUGAUGCAGCGACGCCGCGUGGGUGAAGGAGCGUUUCGGCGCGUAAAGCCCUAUCGGCAGGGAAGAAGGAGGACGGUACCUGACUAAGAAGCCCCGGCUAACUACGUGCCAGCAGCCGCGGUAAUACGUAGGGGGCAAGCGUUAUCCGGAUUUACUGGGUGUAAAGGGGGCGCAGACGGCAGCGCAAGCCAGGAGUGAAAGCCCGGGGCCCAACCCCGGGACUGCUCUUGGAACUGCGCGGCUGGAGUGCAGGAGGGGCAGGCGGAAUUCCUGGUGUAGCGGUGAAAUGCGUAGAUAUCAGGAGGAACACCGGUGGCGAAGGCGGCCUGCUGGACUGCGACUGACGUUGAGGCCCGAAAGCGUGGGGAGCAAACAGGAUUAGAUACCCUCGUAUGA
RNAcentral lists this ribosomal RNA (449 nucleotides) under uncultured bacterium. RNAcentral's name for it is "bacterial SSU rRNA". It matches the Rfam family "Bacterial small subunit ribosomal RNA", at positions 330 to 794 of the family's 1533-position model. The record is from RNAcentral.